UGGGGAAUUUUGGACAAUGGGGGAAACCCUGAUCCAGCCAUCCCGCGUGUGCGAUGAAGGCCUUCGGGUUGUAAAGCACUUUUGGCAGGAAAGAAACGUCGCGGGUUAAUACCCCGCGAAACUGACGGUACCUGCAGAAUAAGCACCGGCUAACUACGUGCCAGCAGCCGCGGUAAUACGUAGGGUGCAAGCGUUAAUCGGAAUUACUGGGCGUAAAGCGUGCGCAGGCGGUUCGGAAAGAAAGAUGUGAAAUCCCAGAGCUUAACUUUGGAACUGCAUUUUUAACUACCGGGCUAGAGUGUGUCAGAGGGAGGUGGAAUUCCGCGUGUAGCAGUGAAAUGCGUAGAUAUGCGGAGGAACACCGAUGGCGAAGGCAGCCUCCUGGGAUAACACUGACGCUCAUGCACGAAAGCGUGGGGAGCAAACAGGAUUAGAUACCCUGGUAGUCCACGCCCUAAACGAUGUCAACUAGCUGUUGGGGCCUUCGGGCCUUGGUAGCGCAGCUAACGCGUGAAGUUGACCGCCUGGGGAGUACGGUCGCAAGAUUAAAACUUAAAGGAAUUGACGGGGGUGCAU
Molecule: ribosomal RNA, 576 nt
Filed under: uncultured bacterium
Lineage: Bacteria
Description: partial 16S ribosomal RNA
Rfam family: Bacterial small subunit ribosomal RNA
Source: RNAcentral